RNAcentral lists this ribosomal RNA (440 nucleotides) under uncultured bacterium. RNAcentral's name for it is "partial 16S ribosomal RNA". It matches the Rfam family "Bacterial small subunit ribosomal RNA", at positions 339 to 795 of the family's 1533-position model. The record is from RNAcentral.
CUACGGGAGGCUCCAGUAAAGAAUCUUCCACAAUGGACGAAAGUCUGAUGGAGCAAUACCGCGUGAACGAUGAAUGUCGAAAGAUUGUAAAGUUCUUUUCUGAGGGAAGAAUUAUGACGGUACCUCAGGAAUAAGCACCGGCUAACUCCGUGCCAGCAGCCGCGGUAAUACGGAGGGUGCAAGCGUUACCCGGAAUUAUUGGGCGUAAAGCGUCCGCAGGCGGUUAAUUAAGUUAGUUAUUAAAUCUUGAAGCCCAACUUUGAGGCUGUAAUUAAAACUGAUUAACUAGAGACUUCCAGAGGCAUAUGGAAUUCUGUGUUUAGGGGUAAAAUCCGUAGAUACACAGAGGAACACCAAAAGCGAAGGCAGUAUGCUGGGGAAGUUCUGACGCUCAUGGACGAAAGCGUAGGUAGCGAACGGGAUUAGAUACCCGCGUAGUC